ACGUAAUGUAUAGAGUGGCGCGUCCAAUGACCUUUGGGUCUGCGGAUUGUGUACUCUUACACGACGGUAUAUAACCCUUUACAAGUCGAGUCGCAGUAGAAGACUCGCACCUCGGUGGUUGGAGCGUUGUGGCCGGCCGCCGCUUAUCACAUACAUCUAUUAGUUCUGAGUGUAAAACCAUAAAUAAUA
RNAcentral lists this unclassified non-coding RNA (189 nucleotides) under uncultured fungus. RNAcentral's name for it is "sequence contains ITS1, 5.8S rRNA gene". Lineage: Eukaryota; Fungi. The record is from RNAcentral.